This is a long non-coding RNA of Gallus gallus (chicken), 4065 nucleotides long. RefSeq lists it as uncharacterized. The record is from RefSeq and is a predicted model, not a curated record. Lineage: Eukaryota; Metazoa; Chordata; Aves; Galliformes; Phasianidae. The transcript is spliced from 5 exons.
AGGUGGUACCUUGUGCAGCCUUGCGCUGCCUUGAGGGUGUGCUCCGUCAGGCCGCCGUUCCUGAAUUCGGUAGCUCGUAGCUAAAUUUUGUCUCUGUGCACCACGCCUACUCGUCUGUUAACACACCUUCAGGGACAGUGGCCCCACCGCCUCCCUGGGUAGCCCGUGCUAACAACGCUACACAGCCCUCUGUGUGGAAAAAGUUUUCCUACUGUCCACCCUGACCCUCCCCAGGCACAAUUUGAGACCGUUACCAAAAAAAGAUUCCCUCGGGGAAAGGAAAGCCGUGCACCCGCCUUGGAGCACUUUGUCCCGGGCUGUGCCGUGAGGAGAGGAGCAGCAGUGCAGAGGGGAGCAUGUGGAGAUGCGCCCGGAGAAGGAGCAGCCGGCACAGCUGCCAGCCCUUCCCGUUGGGUUUCCAGGCAGGAGUAAAACAAUGGCUGCUGAGAUAUGUUACAUGGAAUGGGAACCUGGACUACCUCUUGCACAAAGCUGCUGAGGAAAAGCAUACGACUUAGAGAUGCUUCCAAGUUUUCAUACGGACUGAACAGGAUUCGGUGCAGAACCCACAGAUGUGGAUUUACCAGAGGGCUCACAGAAGGUGAUUCCAGCAGAUGCCAGCUAUGAGCCUCCUGCUAUUGUAAGGCCGUACAGCCAAGGAGUGCUGAGUCAGCUGCACGACAGAGGAGUCCAGAGAAGCAAAGUGGGAUCAGAUGUGAAAAGUUUGGGUGUAACCCAUUGUGCUGCCCUUUGCUGACAGCCUCAAGACCCUGUGCCUACCUUCAGGCUGUACAGAGACCCAGAUAUGCUUCCAACAAGUCUUCAAAAAGUUGUUGUUCAUUACAAAAGAAAGUGCUCCAUGUCAUAUCCGAACCACUGAGGUCACUUGGGAAGUCUUCCGUCUUUCCACUCAUCUGUCACAGCAUUUUUUUGUUUGAGAUGCUCUGAUGAAAGGCUGCAUUCUCCAUUUUCAUUUAAAAAGCCAUUUGCCACCCUCCGAAUCACAAGCAAGAGGUGAGGGAAGUCCUUAGGAUUCCCUUUUGCAGAUACGCAGAUAGGAACAGGUACCUGGGCUUCUUCAGAUCCAUUUCCAUGUUCUUGGAACACACACUCCUGCUCUGUGCAUGUCCUGUUGACUGACUGACUGUGGAGGGACAUGUAGUGCUUCAUGUCAACUCCAGCUGAGCACUUUGCACAAAGUAAUUGCUGCAAUUGAUUCCGGCUAAGGGUCCCUGACAGCAGUUGGUGGCAAGUGCAAUAGGGAAGGGUAUAAGAGCCAAGACAUGUGGUAAUGGCCUUAAGUUAUGCCAGGGGAGGUUCAGCUUGUGUGUUAGGAAACAUUUCUUCUCAGAAAGAGCGGUGAGGCAGUGGCGCAGGCUGCCCAGGGAGGUGGUGGAGUCACCGUCCCUGGAGGUGUUCAAGAAACAUGGAGAUGCGGCACUGAGGGAUGUGGUCAGUGGGCAUGGUGGGGAUGGGCUGGCAUUUGGAUGUUAUGAUUUAGUUGUCUUUUCCAACUUUAAUGAUUCUGUGACUCUAUGCACAGCAAUAUUUCCACCAAGACACCAGCCCUAUGGCUCUUGAGCAUUUCUGUGUUUAAAUACCUUGGUGUGUUAAUGGGCCCUGGCAGACUUCCCUUCCCUAAAUGAGUUGAUUUCCUCUGGAAGCCAUUUAAAUGAUUGGCCUCCAGCAGCUGGUGGCAAUGAGUUCUGCAACCAAAUUAAAAACAAUAUGAAGUAACCUAUUAAUUUCAUUUUAAACCCGCUAGCCAGUAAUUUUACGGCGUGCCUCAUCACACUGCUGUAGGAGGACUAACAAAUAAACAUUCCCCUAUACACUGCCAUUUAUCUCAUUUUAUGCUGGCCUUCUCCCGAUGCUGAGGAGCAGUGUCCUUGUUUGUCUGUCCUUGGAAGCUCUUCCUUACCAUGGGGCAUUCAGAUGCUCUUAUCUGUACAGCUUUUAUUUUUAUUAUGCUACUGCUAGUAUGCCAAAUGACAGCAGAACUUAGAAAAUCAUGUGUUAGGAAGCAGCCUUUCACUUUAACAAGACAUUCAAAACUGAUCUUUUUGCACAGAGAUUACCAAUAUUGUACAUAAACUCACAAAUAAUCAGUUAGUGUCAUACAUAGCAUUAUUUUCUCACAGUCAGAGAUCUGUUAAAUAAUACUCUUCCUACUUAAUGUAUGUAGAGAUACAGAUAAUAAGAGAUACAUUCCUAUGCCAUGGUGUACAUUAAUGAGGGCUGGAGAGAAAGAGAGGGAGAGAGAGAGAGAUUUUCAGCAACUAGCAUGAAGAAGAUCGAGGGGAUGCCAAAACUACUGGAAGGAAAGAAAGAAGAAAUUGAAGAUGAGAAGAAAUUAGGGUAACGUGGAUCUAAGAGCCCAAGAGCAAAAGUAUAUCCAUGAUGUGAGUGUCCAAGAGCACCACAAACAGAUAAGACCUUUCUUAAAAUCAGUUCUUAGCCAUAGGGAUUGGAUUUGGGGUGGUGCUGUGUGGAGCCAGGAUCUGGACUCGGUGAUCCUUGUGGGCUCCUCCUCCCAGCUUGAGAUGACCUGUGUUUCUAUGAUUCUGUGUUGAUAGGGAGCACACCGGGCAGCUUGUGGCCCUUCCGCACCAUUCCAUAGUUGGUUUGCAGGAAUGUAAAUGGUUACUCAGUGCCAAAUUAUUUUUCUCUCUAACACUAGGGGCUUUUUAUUUCUGUCCUGACAAGCUGUUUGUAAAAUGUACUGCUGCAUGGUUGUAUUUAUAGCAGAUUGCCUGAGCUAUGAAUGGCGAAACGUUUCAUAAAAGACAGGCCAAUAACAUGCAAAUGAAAGAGUUGUUUUCUUACUGCUAAAAAGAAAGGUUGGUUUUGCUUAUCAGCACAAAGGAAAUUGAUGCUGUCACUUAUGGAAGCAUCCAUCUUAUUUCAAAUCUCUGGGAACGGUAAAGAGAGAAAAGCCGGAGAUUAAAAGACAGAGUCCAGUGAUCAAAAUGAAAAAUACAAUAGUCUCUGAUAUAUAAUAAUGAUGGGGCUGCUUGGGAUAUUUUGAAUCCUGUGAGCUUCAUGUUUUCUCCAUCACAAAAGAAAGACUGUCCACCAUUUUUUUGUAUUAAAAAGCUGCUGUGUUUCUGUCCUACGUAGUGAGCAUGAGAGAUAGAGACAGGAACUAAAACUGUCACUUAUUCUGCUUUCAGCUGAGCAUGCUGGGUUCCACUGCAGGCAAUAGCAAUGGCUGAUUAUUUUUUAAUAUAUUAUUAUAUUCAUAAUAUAAUAUAAUAUAAUAUUCAUUAUUUUUUGUUCACAUUUACUGUUCACAGUUGGAAUUACUGUAGUAAUCCUUCUGUAGACGAUGACAUAGUCACCACUGCAGAGACUUCAUGAAGGAGUGAAGACUACAGAGACUGUCACACUCCUCCUAGCCCUCGUGUUGCAAUUUGCAAUAGUGCUUGGGCUUUAGAUGGGUCCCUAGAUAAGCAGUGAGGGACAGCAUUCCUGAGACUUCUUCAGAAAAAAGAGACAAGCAAGGUGCAGUGAUAUUGUCCUUAUUUCAUGGCCUCUGCCGCCUCACAGUCAGGAUUGUACAGAAUAGCUCUGGUCUGGCAGCUCACUUGGAAUCAGAUGCUGAAGUCUACUUGAUACCCAAUAAAACUGGAACAAAUGCAUCUCCAUUAAGCAGAAGUACUCACUGCUGAUUAAGCACCCUACUCUGUUAGGGGGUAAAUUCAGACUACCAUUCUCCCCACUAAAGCAACAGAGCAUUCAUGAUUAUAAUUCUUCAGCAAGCUAAUGCAGAAACCGCAGAGCUUAAAAACUGCACUAGAUGAGGUUCACAGGACAUGAAAUACACUGCAUUUUUGUUAACCAUUAGUACUUAUAAAGCAUUUUUGGAAGGAGAAAAGUGCCAAUCUUUUCUUUCUUCACGAUCUUGUUAAUUAUGCUUACAGAUUUGUUUUGGGGCCUAAGUGAAGCAUUUGUUUGGUUUUCAUGUCAUAGAAUGACAGAAUCACAGAUUGGCUUGGGUUGGAAGAGACCUCAAAGAUCAUCUAGCUCCAACCCCCCUGCCAUGGGCAGGGUUGCCAACCACUA